ACUGAUCACCCUCUUAUACCUAUUUCCUCUUCAAACUCUCUCUCUCUCUCUCUCUCUCUCUCUCUCUCUAGGGUUUCUCAGGGGCCUUGUUACAGAGGCAAUUUGGCAUUCUGUCCACCUCCAUAUUCACAAGUACAUAUAGAAGAAGUUUCUUUCUUUUAUUUUACAAGCUCUGGAUGCGGCCAGCAUGUCAAACUGGCUCUGUAAAUUUCUCUCUGAGAAACUCACAUAGAACACUGGAAAACCUUGGUAAUAUUCAAGUUCAAAAACCCUUGACUUGUGUUGCUUUUGGUGUUUUUAUUUUUCACUCUUCUCAUGGAUUUCUCCUCCCAUAUAUUGCAUGGCACAGGUUGAUCAGACUCGAGCUCCUCAUCGUAUACAUUGUUCUGUCAAGCUCAUUGAUUUUUCUUAUUAUCAGUG
Molecule: non-coding RNA, 420 nt
Organism: Prunus avium (sweet cherry)
Lineage: Eukaryota; Viridiplantae; Streptophyta; Magnoliopsida; Rosales; Rosaceae
Source: RefSeq, a predicted model, not a curated record